Molecule: ribosomal RNA, 497 nt
Filed under: uncultured bacterium
Lineage: Bacteria
Description: partial 16S ribosomal RNA
Rfam family: Bacterial small subunit ribosomal RNA
Source: RNAcentral
GAUGAACGCUGGCGGCGUGCCUAAUACAUGCAAGUCGAGCGAACAGACGAGGAGCUUGCUCCUCUGACGUUAGCGGCGGACGGGUGAGUAACACGUGGAUAACCUACCUAUAAGACUGGGAUAACUUCGGGAAACCGGAGCUAAUACCGGAUAAUAUAUUGAACCGCAUGGUUCAAUAGUGAAAGACGGUUUUGCUGUCACUUAUAGAUGGAUCCGCGCCGCAUUAGCUAGUUGGUAAGGUAACGGCUUACCAAGGCAACGAUGCGUAGCCGAACUGAGAGGCUGAUCGGCCACACUGGAACUGAGACACGGUCCAGACUCCUACGGGAGGCAGCAGUAGGGAAUCUUCCGCAAUGGGCGAAAGCCUGACGGAGCAACGCCGCGUGAGUGAUGAAGGUCUUCGGAUCGUAAAACUCUGUUAUUAGGGAAGAACAAAUGUGUAAGUAACUAUGCACGUCUUGACGGUACCGAAUAAGAAAGCCACGGCUAACUACGUG